Molecule: unclassified non-coding RNA, 331 nt
Filed under: soil metagenome
Description: partial contains 5.8S ribosomal RNA, internal transcribed spacer 2, and large subunit ribosomal RNA
Rfam family: 5.8S ribosomal RNA (bases 1-120)
Source: RNAcentral
GAUGAAGAACGUAGCGAAAUGCGAUAAGUAAUGUGAAUUGCAGAAUUCAGUGAAUCAUCGAAUCUUUGAACGCACAUUGCGCCCGCUAGUAUUCUGGCGGGCAUGCCUGUUCGAGCGUCAUUUCAACCAUCAAGCCCCAGGCUUGUGUUGGGGGCCUGCGGCUGCCGCAGCCCCUGAAAAGCAGUGGCGGGCUCGCUGUCAUUCCGAGCGCAGUAGUUACAUCUCGCUCCGGGCGUGGCGGUGGGCACCUGCCGUGAAACACUCCUUCUAAGGUUGACCUCGGAUCAGGUAGGAAUACCCGCUGAACCUAAGCAUAUCAAUAAGCGGAGGA